GAAGCGUCCUCAGCGACGGACCG
RNAcentral lists this small nuclear RNA (23 nucleotides) under Arabidopsis thaliana (thale cress). RNAcentral describes it as "snRNA_06103". Lineage: Eukaryota; Viridiplantae; Streptophyta; Magnoliopsida; Brassicales; Brassicaceae. The record is from RNAcentral.